GCCUGGCUGGCUGAGUCGGUUAAGCGUCUGACUUCAGCUCAGGUCAUGAUCUCAUAGCUUGUGGGUUUGAGUCCCACAUCGGGCU
This 85-nucleotide transfer RNA is filed under the name Felis catus (domestic cat). It matches the Rfam family "tRNA". Rfam says of the family: Transfer RNA (tRNA) molecules are approximately 80 nucleotides in length. Their secondary structure includes four short double-helical elements and three loops (D, anti-codon, and T loops). Further hydrogen bonds mediate the characteristic L-shaped molecular structure. tRNAs have two regions of fundamental functional importance: the anti-codon, which is responsible for specific mRNA codon recognition, and the 3' end, to which the tRNAs corresponding amino acid is attached (by aminoacyl-tRNA synthetases). tRNAs cope with the degeneracy of the genetic code in two manners: having more than one tRNA (with a specific anti-codon) for a particular amino acid; and 'wobble' base-pairing, i.e. permitting non-standard base-pairing at the 3rd anti-codon position. Lineage: Eukaryota; Metazoa; Chordata; Mammalia; Carnivora; Felidae. The record is from Rfam by way of RNAcentral.